AGUGAACGCUGGCGGUAGGCCUAACACAUGCAAGUCGAACGGCAGCACAGUAAGAGCUUGCUCUUACGGGUGGCGAGUGGCGGACGGGUGAGGAAUACAUCGGAAUCUACUUUUUCGUGGGGGAUAACGUAGGGAAACUUACGCUAAUACCGCAUACGACCUACGGUAGAAAGCAGGGGAUCUUCGGACCUUGCUCGAUUGAAUGAGCCGAGGUCGGAUUAGCUAGUUGGCGGGGUAAAGGCCCACCAAGGCGACGAUCAGUAGCUGAUCUGAGAGGAUGAUCAGCCACACUGGAACUGAGACACGGUCCAGACUCCUACGGGAGGCAGCAGUAGGGAAUAUUGGACAAUGGGCGCAAGCCUGAUGCAGCCAUACCGCGUGGGUGAAGAAGGCCUUCGGGUUGUAAAGCCCUUUUGUUGGGAAAGAAAAGCAGCAGGUUAAUACCCCGCUGUUCUGACGGUACCCAAAGAAUAAGCACCGGCUAACUUCGUG
Molecule: ribosomal RNA, 492 nt
Filed under: uncultured bacterium
Lineage: Bacteria
Description: partial 16S ribosomal RNA
Rfam family: Bacterial small subunit ribosomal RNA
Source: RNAcentral